UGGGGAAUUUUGGACAAUGGGGGCAACCCUGAUCCAGCCAUGCCGCGUGAGUGAAGAAGGCCUUCGGGUUGUAAAGCUCUUUCGGCCGGGAAGAAAUCGCGCCAGCUAAUACCUGGUGUGGAUGACGGUACCGGAAGAAGAAGCACCGGCUAACUACGUGCCAGCAGCCGCGGUAAUACGUAGGGUGCGAGCGUUAAUCGGAAUUACUGGGCGUAAAGCGUGCGCAGGCGGUUUUGUAAGACAGGUGUGAAAUCCCCGGGCUUAACCUGGGAACUGCGCUUGUGACUGCAAGACUUGAGUGCGGCAGAGGGGGGUGGAAUUCCACGUGUAGCAGUGAAAUGCGUAGAGAUGUGGAGGAACACCGAUGGCGAAGGCAGCCCCCUGGGUCGACACUGACGCUCA
This 402-nucleotide ribosomal RNA is filed under the name uncultured bacterium. RNAcentral's name for it is "bacterial SSU rRNA". It matches the Rfam family "Bacterial small subunit ribosomal RNA", at positions 355 to 749 of the family's 1533-position model. The record is from RNAcentral.